RNAcentral lists this ribosomal RNA (253 nucleotides) under uncultured bacterium. Its description in RNAcentral is "partial 16S ribosomal RNA". It matches the Rfam family "Bacterial small subunit ribosomal RNA", at positions 524 to 776 of the family's 1533-position model. The record is from RNAcentral.
UACGUAGGCAGCAAGCGUUGUUCGGAGUUACUGGGCGUAAAGGGUGUGUAGGCGGUUCCCUAAGUUUGGUGUGAAAUCUCCCGGCUCAACUGGGGGGGGGCGCCGAAAACUGGGGAGCUAGAGUGCAGGAUGGGAGAGUGGAAUUCCUGGUGUAGCGGUGAAAUGCGUAGAUAUCAGGAGGAACACCUGAGGUGUAGACGGCUCUCUGGACCGCAACUGACGCUGAGACGCGAAAGCGUGGGUAGCAAACAGG